Molecule: ribosomal RNA, 133 nt
Filed under: uncultured bacterium
Lineage: Bacteria
Description: partial 16S ribosomal RNA
Source: RNAcentral
AGUUAGCCGAUGCUUAUUCUUCAGGUACACGUCAUUUAUUCCUCCCUGAAAAAAGAGGUUUACAACCCAUAGGCAGUCUUCCCUCACGCGGUAUUGCUCCGUCAGGCUUUCGCCCAUUGCGGAAAAUUCCCCA